GAUGAAGAACGUAGCGAAAUGCGAUACGUAGUGUGAAUUGCAGAAUUCAGUGAAUCAUCGAAUCUUUGAACGCACAUUGCACCUCUCGGUGUUCCGGGAGGUAUGCCUGUUCGAGCGUCAUUUGUACCCUCAAGCUCUGCUUGGUGUUGGGUGUUUGUUCCGCCUCUGUGUGUGAACUCGCCUCAAAACAAUUGGCAGCCGGCGUACUUGUUUCGGAGCGCAGCACAUUUUGCGAUCCAGAUCAACGUACAGCGGCAUCCAAGAAGCCUUAUUUAACGCUCUUGACCUCGGAUCAGGUAGGGAUACCCGCUGAACUUAAGCAUAUCAAUAAGCGGAGGA
This 339-nucleotide unclassified non-coding RNA is filed under the name soil metagenome. RNAcentral describes it as "partial contains 5.8S ribosomal RNA, internal transcribed spacer 2, and large subunit ribosomal RNA". The stretch from base 1 to 120 matches the Rfam family "5.8S ribosomal RNA", at positions 35 to 154 of the family's 154-position model. The record is from RNAcentral.